GCAGUGGGGAAUUUUGGACAAUGGGGGAAACCCUGAUCCAGCCAUUCCGCGUGUGUGAAGAAGGCCUUCGGGUUGUAAAGCACUUUUGGCGGGAAAGAAACGGCGUCGACUAAUACUCGGCGUAACUGACGGUACCCGCAGAAUAAGCACCGGCUAACUACGUGCCAGCAGCCGCGGUAAUACGUAGGGUGCAAGCGUUAAUCGGAAUUACUGGGCGUAAAGCGUGCGCAGGCGGUUCGGAAAGAAAGAUGUGAAAUCCCAGGGCUCAACCUUGGAACUGCAUUUUUAACUACCGGACUAGAGUAUGUCAGAGGGGGGUGGAAUUCCACGUGUAGCAGUGAAAUGCGUAGAUAUGUGGAGGAACACCGAUGGCGAAGGCAGCCCCCUGGGAUAAUACUGACGCUCAUGCACGAAAGCGUGGGGAGCAAACAGGAUUAGA
This 439-nucleotide ribosomal RNA is filed under the name uncultured bacterium. Its description in RNAcentral is "bacterial SSU rRNA". It matches the Rfam family "Bacterial small subunit ribosomal RNA", at positions 351 to 782 of the family's 1533-position model. The record is from RNAcentral.